Nippostrongylus brasiliensis is the source of this 72-nucleotide non-coding RNA. Lineage: Eukaryota; Metazoa; Nematoda; Chromadorea; Rhabditida; Heligmosomidae. The record is from Rfam.
GUCUCAGGAGCAUAGUGGUUAGUGCACAGCCCCGGGUAGGCUGAGAGGCGGGUUCGAAUCCGGCAUGAGAUG